UUCAAUGCAUUACUCACUGCGAUCCGGUUAUGCAGUUGACUGUUGCAGAUGAAAGCCUGCAUGCUCCUCUGCGUCUCCAGUUUACUGCGUAGUCGGAUUGCCGCUAGUGAUGCUUUGAG
Molecule: non-coding RNA, 119 nt
Organism: Marchantia polymorpha subsp. ruderalis
Lineage: Eukaryota; Viridiplantae; Streptophyta; Marchantiopsida; Marchantiales; Marchantiaceae
Source: the annotation of a GenBank genome assembly